Molecule: long non-coding RNA, 253 nt
Filed under: Elaeis guineensis (African oil palm)
Lineage: Eukaryota; Viridiplantae; Streptophyta; Magnoliopsida; Arecales; Arecaceae
Description: long non-coding RNA (EGUI_LNC008388)
Source: RNAcentral
UGUUCUUUUCAUCCUCUCAUCCUCCUUGUCCUCCUCCUCCAACCCAUUCCUUACUGACUGCCGAUCUUCUCUCCUCUAUUUUCUCCUCAUCCAUUUUUUCUCUUCGUCCUCUUAGUCCUCCUCAUCCUCUUCCUCCUCCAAAUCCACCUAUCAUCCCUACUCCUCUACGACAGCCCCCUCUACAUUCAUUCCUUCUCACCAACAACCCAUCCUUUCCUCUUCUCUUCCCCUUCAUCAUUUCUCCUCCUCAUCC